RNAcentral lists this ribosomal RNA (440 nucleotides) under uncultured bacterium. RNAcentral describes it as "partial 16S ribosomal RNA". It matches the Rfam family "Bacterial small subunit ribosomal RNA", at positions 338 to 795 of the family's 1533-position model. The record is from RNAcentral.
CCUACGGGAGGCAGCAGUAGGGAAUAUUGCUCAAUGGGGGAAACCCUGAAGCAGCAACGCCGCGUGGAGGAUGAAGGUUUUCGGAUUGUAAACUCCUUUUGUUAGAGAAGAUAAUGACGGUAUCUAACGAAUAAGCACCGGCUAACUCCGUGCCAGCAGCCGCGGUAAUACGGAGGGUGCAAGCGUUACUCGGAAGCACUGGGCGUAAAGAGCGCGUAGGCGGGAUAGCAAGUCAGAUGUGAAAUCCUAGGGCUUAACCAUAGAACUGCAUUUGAAACUGGUAUUCUAGAGUAUGGGAGAGGUAGGUGGAAUUCUUGGUGUAGGGGUAAAAUCCGUAGAGAUCAAGAGGAAUACUCAUUGCGAAGGCGACCUGCUAGAACAUAACUGACGCUGAUGCGCGAAAGCGUGGGGAGCAAACAGGAUUAGAUACCCCUGUAGUC